Molecule: ribosomal RNA, 335 nt
Filed under: uncultured soil bacterium
Lineage: Bacteria
Description: bacterial SSU rRNA
Rfam family: Bacterial small subunit ribosomal RNA
Source: RNAcentral
AGAUUGAACGCUAGCGGGAUGCUUUACACAUGCAAGUCGAACGGCAGCGCGGACUUCGGUCUGGCGGCGAGUGGCGAAUGGGUGAGUAAUAUAUCGGAACGUGCCCGGUAGCGGGGGAUAACUACGCGAAAGCGUGGCUAAUACCGCAUACGCCCUACGGGGGAAAGGGGGGAUCGCAAGACCUCUCACUAUUGGAGCGGCCGAUAUCAGAUUAGCUAGUUGGUGAGGUAAAGGCUCACCAAGGCGACGAUCCGUAACUGGUCUGAGAGGAUGAUCAGUCACACUGGAACUGAGACACGGUCCAGACUCCGUACGGGAGCCAGCAGUGGGGAAUA